GCGGCAUUAGCUCAGUGGAUAGAGCAUCAGCCUCCGGAGCUGAGGGUCACAAGUUCAAGUCCUGUAUGCCGCGCCA
RNAcentral lists this transfer RNA (76 nucleotides) under bacterium. RNAcentral's name for it is "tRNA-Arg". It matches the Rfam family "tRNA". Rfam says of the family: Transfer RNA (tRNA) molecules are approximately 80 nucleotides in length. Their secondary structure includes four short double-helical elements and three loops (D, anti-codon, and T loops). The record is from RNAcentral.